Microcebus murinus (gray mouse lemur) is the source of this 582-nucleotide non-coding RNA. NCBI's taxonomy places the organism in Eukaryota, Metazoa, Chordata, Mammalia, Primates, Cheirogaleidae. The record is from RefSeq and is a predicted model, not a curated record.
CAGGCGCUCCUCAGCUGGCCAAUGAUCGGGGAGCAAACCCAGUCUCUUCCCGCAGCGAGCAUGAGAUGUUUACAGCAAUUAAAAGAAGCUGAGCUGACAAAAGAAGGUAUAAAUCCUCUUAACAUUAGCUAGAGCUGGUCAAUUCACAUUCUGAAAGAGGAAAAGUUUCCAGGAGAGGGGAGCAAAGGGGUGACUAUCUGAUGGACUGUCAUCAAAAUUCACUGCCUAUAAAAAGGGUUUUGAGUAUUGUUUAAACAGCCUUGAAAAAGUUCCUGAGUGGAUAGCAGGAAUGCAAACUUUCCCCGCUUCCUCAAGAAGAGAUGGUACUAGAUGCCACCUGCUAUCAAGAGGAAAGAAGAAACUAAUUUCUGCUAUCAAUCUGCUAUGUGAUAAAUAGAAAAACCCAACACAGCAGUUUCUCAGCUGCCUUCUGCUAGUUGGGCUACAGUCAUAACCCGUAACCCGUCUUCAGCCUGCCCUAGUAAAGAGUCAGAGUGGUUUGGCCUCAGGGCCAGUGCCUCUCUUAUUUCCAGCACUGUGCCUUCUCUCUUCUCAGGGAGGGAAAAUAAACUUUGUGCUAAA